Molecule: ribosomal RNA, 492 nt
Filed under: uncultured bacterium
Lineage: Bacteria
Description: partial 16S ribosomal RNA
Rfam family: Bacterial small subunit ribosomal RNA
Source: RNAcentral
AGUGAACGCUGGCGGUAGGCCUAACACAUGCGAGUCGAACGGCAGCACAGUAAGAGCUUGCUCUUACGGGUGGCGAGUGGCGGACGGGUGAGGAAUACAUCGGAAUCUACUUUUUCGUGGGGGAUAACGUAGGGAAACUUACGCUAAUACCGCAUACGACCUACGGGUGAAAGCAGGGGAUCUUCGGACCUUGCGCGAUUGAAUGAGCCGAUGUCGGAUUAGCUAGUUGGCGGGGUAAAGGCCCACCAAGGCGACGAUCCGUAGCUGGUCUGAGAGGAUGAUCAGCCACACUGGAACUGAGACACGGUCCAGACUCCUACGGGAGGCAGCAGUGGGGAAUAUUGGACAAUGGGCGCAAGCCUGAUCCAGCCAUACCGCGUGGGUGAAGAAGGUCUUCGGGUUGUAAAGCCCUUUUGUUGGGAAAGAAAAGCAGCAGGUUAAUACCCCGCUGUUCUGACGGUACCCAAAGAAUAAGCACCGGCUAACUUCGUG